GACGAGGGGUCCUAGCGUUGUUCGGAAUCACUGGGCGUAAAGCGUAUGUAGGCGGGCUUCUAAGUCAGGUGUGAAAUCCCAUGGCUCAACCAUGGAAUUGCAUUUGAAACUGGAAGUCUUGAAUGUGGGAGAGAUUGGUAGAAUACCUGGUGUAGUGGUGAAAUACGUAGAUAUCAGGUGGAAUACCGGUGGCGAAGGCGGCAUGCCAACAUUGACCGACUGACGCAU
RNAcentral lists this ribosomal RNA (228 nucleotides) under uncultured bacterium. RNAcentral describes it as "partial 16S ribosomal RNA". It matches the Rfam family "Bacterial small subunit ribosomal RNA", at positions 524 to 754 of the family's 1533-position model. The record is from RNAcentral.